GCACGCACCAAGGUCCCACCAAGAGAUAUAAGAAAUGUAUUUGUAAUAUUAAAUAUAAUUGCAUUUAUUCCUGUUAUCAAUCAAGGUGAGACUGAACAUGGACAAGGCGCAGGAGAAACAGAAGGAGAGCUAACGGAGGAGAAUCAAGAAGGGAACCAAGUGCUUUGACAUACGGGCAAAUUACUUGGUUUGGAAGAAGGAUGAAAGGAAGGCGAGAGCUGGGAAACCUCGCCGCUCUUUAGCUCCUAGCCGGGGUCACCAUCUGUUAAGGGUUACCUCGGUGGAAGCCAACAAUCUUCUCCAGUUGGAGCAGUUGGACGAUCGACCACUGAAAGCCCUGACGCCCUACACUUCGGUGAAGCUCAAUAGAAAAAGUAUGUUAUGCUUUGGUUGACAUUUGAGAAUGCAAAAAAUGGUAGUUAUGCUGAGUUUAUAAGAAUGUACUUCUUCAAUUUACCUCUCCAAUUUACCUCUCCAAAUGACAAAGGACAAUCGACUGUCUGAGCCCCCCAUGAGGUUUCCGAUCCACCAGAGCCAGUGAGUUCAGAUCAGUCUGAUUCUCUGUGCUCUGAGUUGGAGGGGGACCUUCUUGAGGACAUAGGGGUUCUGCUCAACACCCAGACGUGGAUCCAACCAGCCUCCAAUUUUUCAUUACAUCAUCUACAGCUACUGUUGUUGUCAUUAUCUGCUAAUUAACAUUUCUUGCUCUCAUACUGGCCACAUAAUAUGUGAGAUACACAGAUGAACUAAAAACACUAGCACUGCAAACACUCAGAACAAAGAGAGCAGUAGGGCUGGGCGAUAAAUCAAUAAUUAUGGAGGUAAUUACCCUCAAUAACGAUAUAAAAACAUUUAGAUUAAUUUUCGAUAAUGUCGAUAUAGAAUAAAUAGGUACAGCAGUCUAUUUCACCUCUGUGACGCAGCAGGAACGUGGGGAGAAGUGACAAUAUGCAUGUGGGGAGAUAUACGCCCACUACAAACCACCUCGAGUGAUGGAGUAGCUAUUAUUAACCACAGAUAUGAGUGAUGUAGGCGAAAACAGUGGCAGUGAUAACCAUGGAGAAGGACGUUCAACUGUUUCAGUUAUUUGGAUGUGGUUUGGCUUUUUGAAGUCCGCUCAAGACAGAUUUGACGUAUUUUGCUACUACUACCGAUCUGUGGUCUAGUUGCAGUCAGCCUUAUAUUAUCCUCACUGUCCACUAUAUUGACAAAGAGUGGAAUCUUCAAAAGAAAUGCCUUCAAACAUCAUACUUUCCCGACGACCACACGGGUGAAGCUAUAGCAGAGGGGCUCAUUGAAGCUCUCGCCUCCUGGGGACUCAGUUAAGACAGACCAGUCUGCAUUACAACAGAUAGUGGUGUAAACGUGGUGAAGGCCGCUCAAAUCAACAAAUGGACCCGACUGCAAUGUUUUGGACAUCGUCUGCGCUUGGCCAUUGGUAAGAAACCUAGUCAAUUGUAUAUAUUGAAGUACUAAAUGUGAUUUUUUUUUUCAUCAACUGAUUAAGUUAAAUAUUACAUUUGUACAUAACUAAAGGGAUUAUUAUGAUUAACAUUUUAUUAAAAUCUUUUGAUUUCUCUUAGUGGGUAGAGACAAACGGGUGGAUUGAGCAAUUGGAGUGUGUAAGAAAGUGGUAGGUGCCUUUUCCUAUUAGUGGAAAAAUAAGGGAGACCUGGCAGUUGCUCAAAAAGAACACAACCUACCUCUGCACAAGUUGGUGACAGAGUCGCCUACCAGGUGGGGAUCACGUCAAAAGAUGGUGCAAAGAGUACUGGAGCAGGACAAGGCCAUUUCGCAGGUCUUGUCCAGUGACAUGAAGACCCAGCACUUAGCUCCCACCUAUACAGAUAUAGUUGUUCUUGAGUCCAUCAUCCAGGCAUUGACCCCACUCCUAGAAUUUACAGAUGCUCUGUCUGGUUAGUCUUAUGUCAGUGUGUCUUACCUGAAGCCAGUAUGACACCUGUUCAAUACAGAGGUCAUGAAACCUGAUGGUGGUGAAACAGAGCUCACCCAAAUCAAAACGAUAGUCAUGGCCUCUGAAUGAGAAAUAAGAUGACCUCCUGGACAUAGCCUCGUUGGCCGACCCUUGGUUUAAAACACAUUACAUCAAAGAGGAGAAGGAGGGCCACAUAAAAGCCUCUGAUGGUCAAUGAGGGACAUGAAAACCCAAGCCUAGCACAGGGAGACGUUGCUGCUGCUUCACCACAACUGCCAGCUAAAAAGAGAAAGUCACUGGGCAGUUUUUUUCAAAAAGUCGUGGUCCACCACCACAGGUCUUACUGAAAUUCAGCUGGUAGAAAAGAAACUCAGCUGCUACCUUCAGACUCCUGAUGCUGACCGUGAAACCAAUCCACUAGACUGGUGGAAGAUCCACCUCCAAAAACUUUCCCCAAGUCAGCCACCUGGCAAUGCGCUACCUGUGCAUUCCUGCAACCUGCUCCCCCUCAGAGCGUGUUUUUAGCACAGGUGGCAACAUGGUGACCUGCCAUAGGGUAGCUUUAAAGCCAGAGACCGUAGAUAGACUUGUCUUUCUUACUUGUAACUUGUAAGACAACAACUACCCCAACUUCAACUGUGAUGUGCCAUUAGGCUAACAGUUAUAAUGCAUAUUGACUUGCAUAAUAUGUUUGUAUUUUAUUUAUUGUUCAUAACUUGUAAGGAUUUACAGCUAUAACCUCUUUGGGCUGAGAUCCCUCUAACGGGAUCGAUAUGACAAUAGCCAGUGAAAGUGCGCCAAAUUCAAAACAAUAAAUCCCAUAAUUAAAAUUCCUCAAA
This is a long non-coding RNA of Oncorhynchus kisutch (coho salmon), 2775 nucleotides long. RefSeq lists it as uncharacterized. NCBI's taxonomy places the organism in Eukaryota, Metazoa, Chordata, Actinopteri, Salmoniformes, Salmonidae. The transcript is spliced from 3 exons. The record is from RefSeq and is a predicted model, not a curated record.